Long non-coding RNA from Cotesia glomerata, 160 nucleotides. RefSeq lists it as uncharacterized. The transcript is spliced from 3 exons. The record is from RefSeq and is a predicted model, not a curated record. NCBI's taxonomy places the organism in Eukaryota, Metazoa, Arthropoda, Insecta, Hymenoptera, Braconidae.
GAACGAACGAGACUCUUGUAAGGGGGGAUAAGUGUUAUGGCUCAAACAGGUCUUACGGCUGCACCUCCCCGCAUGGGCCCCGCUGGUAACUGGUCGGGUUGUCAUUAUAUUACCGAUCAGGCUAACGCAGUCGUUGAAUGGCGUUGUAAAGGGGAGGAUU